This 216-nucleotide long non-coding RNA is filed under the name Lathyrus oleraceus (garden pea). RNAcentral describes it as "Pisum sativum (pea) long non-coding RNA (PSAT_LNC034335)". The record is from RNAcentral. Lineage: Eukaryota; Viridiplantae; Streptophyta; Magnoliopsida; Fabales; Fabaceae.
AGAAACAAAUAAAAUAUUUUUGGUAUUUUUCCAUAUUAAAAUAAAACUUGAAUUAAAAUAAUAAAGAAAGGUCAAACUUCAAACUCACUUCAAAUUAACUUUGAAAAGUCCAAGUGAAUUAUCCCAAUUUCAACAAGGUCAAACAAAGUUUGACAAAAAAUUUCAGCAUUUUUAAAAGUCAGAAACUAUUUUAAAUCAAUUAAAAAUGCAUAAAAA